Brassica napus (rape) is the source of this 466-nucleotide long non-coding RNA. RefSeq lists it as uncharacterized. Lineage: Eukaryota; Viridiplantae; Streptophyta; Magnoliopsida; Brassicales; Brassicaceae. The transcript is spliced from 2 exons. The record is from RefSeq and is a predicted model, not a curated record.
UUGUGUGUAGGUGUCAAAGCUCAUGUGGACAACGAACUCCCAGAGUUUAUUGCUGAUAUUGUAGGGAGGUGACCAUGGUACUGAUGAUGAUAUGCCCAGAGAGAAUCCAGUAGCAUCUAAGGUCUCUGCUGGUGACAAGAAGACUGAUGUUGAGCUACCAUAUGGUGAGUCAGAUGAACUCGAAGUGAAUACAAAUGCCAAACAUCAACCAUCCUCAACUGUUGUACCUGGAGGCGGGCGUCCGGCAUCAACCAAGCAGGUGGUUGGUCCAAAUGAGAAUGGAAAGAAGAAGGCACGCCUGGCAUAGCUCCACCUCGAAAACACAAAUCCCCACUACAUUUUCUUCUGUUUUAAUGUCUUCCUUUUAUUUUCUUAUCGUGAAAAGCUUUUGCAACUCUUUUUCUAUGUUAUUUAAACUCAAUGUAGUGGUGGAUGUUUUGACUAUUAAAGAAAUUUAUUUACUAAA